GGAUGUGAGGGUGAUCUGGCUGUGACAUCUGUCACCCCAUUGAUCUCCAGGGUUGAUUUGUCAGAUCUGGCUGGCUUGGUGGGUGUCUCCUUCCUCCCUCACUGCUCCAUGUGUUUCCCUCCCUAAGCUGUGUGCUUGGUCAAAGAGGAUGGCCUUCCCGAAGAGAGACAGACUGGUCUUUGGUCAAGGGUAUAUGAGUAGCUGCACUCUCCCUGCUAGAACCUCCAAACAAGCUCUCAAAUCUACUCCAUGAAUAAAAUUUGGAGGUACCCAGGGUUCAGUGAAAUGGAUUUCUGCUUCUAUUUCAUGUCUUUUCCCAUAAGUAUAU
RNAcentral lists this small nuclear RNA (328 nucleotides) under Erinaceus europaeus (western European hedgehog). RNAcentral's name for it is "7SK RNA". It matches the Rfam family "7SK RNA". From Rfam's summary of the family: 7SK was discovered as an abundant small nuclear RNA in the mid-70s but a possible function has only recently been suggested. The record is from Rfam by way of RNAcentral. Lineage: Eukaryota; Metazoa; Chordata; Mammalia; Eulipotyphla; Erinaceidae.